GUACACACCGCCCGUCACACCAUGGGAGUGGGUUUCACCAGAAGUAGGUAGCCUAACCGCAAGGGGGCAGGCGUCCACGGUAUGGUUCAUGAUUGGGGUGAAGUCGUAACAAGGUUUCCGUAGGUGAACCUGCAGAAGGAUCA
Molecule: ribosomal RNA, 143 nt
Filed under: uncultured eukaryote
Lineage: Eukaryota
Description: partial small subunit ribosomal RNA
Rfam family: Bacterial small subunit ribosomal RNA
Source: RNAcentral